UGAAGGAUGUUGAGCAGCAUCCUUGGAUAACUCAGUAGAUGACAGUAGUUCCCUCUCUCUCAGUUGCAAAAACCCAAAGUGUCUCUAGACAUUGCCAACUAUUCUCUGGUGGGCCAUACUGUGCCCAGUUGAGAAUCAUUGUUUUUUUUCCUUUGUUUAGAUUCAUGUAAGGUUUUUGUAAAAGGAUGUGUGCAAAAAUAAUCUUAUCCCCUAUUGUUUGGGAUUUGAACACCCUAUUACACUUCUUCAACCUUGUCAGUCCCCAAUUCUUUUACCUCUUGCACACUGGCCAGUCCUUGUCUGAUGUCAUCUCUCUCUCAUAAUAAUUUGCCAAAAAGUGGUAUGGAGCUGCAAAUGUAUAAUGACAUUCUAGCUUUUUUUUAGCUGCUUCUCUUGGAGCUGUAGGCAUGAUAAGCAUAUGAUUAAUCUUCCAAAUUAUCACAGGAGACACUGUUACCAAAAGUUUUGCUGCAGCAGAACAAGAGUCACCAGAGUUUGAAUGUCAAGAAAAAAAAAAGAUUUUGGAAUGGAGAAACAGCUACUGGACAGAUGCAAGAGUUUGUAAAAUAUGCCAACUAAUAAGCAUGUUGUGAAUGUUACAACUUCAACAGUCCUGAAGUGGCUGAUUCCUGUGACAA
Hyaena hyaena (striped hyena) is the source of this 638-nucleotide long non-coding RNA. RefSeq lists it as uncharacterized. NCBI's taxonomy places the organism in Eukaryota, Metazoa, Chordata, Mammalia, Carnivora, Hyaenidae. The transcript has 3 exons. The record is from RefSeq and is a predicted model, not a curated record.